Molecule: ribosomal RNA, 844 nt
Filed under: Acinetobacter baumannii Canada BC-5
Lineage: Bacteria; Pseudomonadati; Pseudomonadota; Gammaproteobacteria; Moraxellales; Moraxellaceae
Description: bacterial SSU rRNA
Rfam family: Bacterial small subunit ribosomal RNA
Source: RNAcentral
AUUGAACGCUGGCGGCAGGCUUAACACAUGCAAGUCGAGCGGGGGAAGGUAGCUUGCUACCGGACCUAGCGGCGGACGGGUGGGUAAUGCUUAGGAAUCUGCCUAUUAGUGGGGGACAACAUCUCGAAAGGGAUGCUAAUACCGCAUACGUCCUACGGGAGAAAGCAGGGGAUCUUCGGACCUUGCGCUAAUAGAUGAGCCUAAGUCGGAUUAGCUAGUUGGUGGGGUAAAGGCCUACCAAGGCGACGAUCUGUAGCGGGUCUGAGAGGAUGAUCCGCCACACUGGGACUGAGACACGGCCCAGACUCCUACGGGAGGCAGCAGUGGGGAAUAUUGGACAAUGGGGGGAACCCUGAUCCAGCCAUGCCGCGUGUGUGAAGAAGGCCUUAUGGUUGUAAAGCACUUUAAGCGAGGAGGAGGCUACUUUAGUUAAUACCUAGAGAUAGUGGACGUUACUCGCAGAAUAAGCACCGGCUAACUCUGUGCCAGCAGCCGCGGUAAUACAGAGGGUGCGAGCGUUAAUCGGAUUUACUGGGCGUAAAGCGUGCGUAGGCGGCUUAUUAAGUCGGAUGUGAAAUCCCCGAGCUUAACUUGGGAAUUGCAUUCGAUACUGGUGAGCUAGAGUAUGGGAGAGGAUGGUAGAAUUCCAGGUGUAGCGGUGAAAUGCGUAGAGAUCUGGAGGAAUACCGAUGGCGAAGGCAGCCAUCUGGCCUAAUACUGACGCUGAGGUACGAAAGCAUGGGGGAGCAAACAGGAUUAGAUACCCUGGUAGUCCAUGCCGUAAACGAUGUCUACUAGCCGUUGGGGCCUUUGAGGCUUUAGUGGCGCAGCUAACGCGAUAAGU